UGGGUUGUCCGGUUGCAAAAGUUGCACCACUCACUUUAAAUGUCCCAUCAGGGUUUCUUCCUUUGUAGGUGAAGGUAAGGCUCCCCCCGAAGUAAUGUGACGCAGAGGCCAGCGAG
This is a long non-coding RNA of Etheostoma cragini (Arkansas darter), 116 nucleotides long. RefSeq lists it as uncharacterized. NCBI's taxonomy places the organism in Eukaryota, Metazoa, Chordata, Actinopteri, Perciformes, Percidae. The transcript is spliced from 3 exons. The record is from RefSeq and is a predicted model, not a curated record.